AGAGUUUGAUCCUGGCUCAGGAUGAACGCUGGCGGCGUGCCUAAUACAUGCAAGUCGAACGAGGUGCUUUUGUAGCAAUACGAGAGUAUCCUAGUGGCGAACGGGUGAGUAACGCGUUGGAACAUGCCCGGUAGUGGGGGACAACAGCGCGAAAGCGAUGCUAAUCCCGCAUACGCUCGCAAGAGAAAAGCGUGCAAACGCGCUGCCGGAGUGGCCCGCGGCCCAUCAGGUCGUCGGUGGGGUAACGGCCUACCGAGCCGAUGACGGGUAGCUGGUCUGUGAGGACAGACAGCCAGACUGGGACUGAGACACGGCCCAGACUCCUACGGGAGGCAGCAGCAAGGAAUUUUCGUCAAUGGGCGCAAGCCUGAACGAGCAACGCCGCGUGGAGGAUGACGGCCUUCGGGUUGUAAACUCCUUUUUCGGGGGACGAUGAUGACGGUACCCCGGGAAUAAGGCUCGGCUAACUCUGUGCCAGCAGCCGCGGUAAUAC
Molecule: ribosomal RNA, 493 nt
Filed under: uncultured bacterium
Lineage: Bacteria
Description: bacterial SSU rRNA
Rfam family: Bacterial small subunit ribosomal RNA
Source: RNAcentral